GGGGAUUUAGCUCAGUGGUAGAGUACUUGCCUAGCACUCAGGAGGCCCUGGGUUCAAUCCCCAGAACCCA
This 70-nucleotide transfer RNA is filed under the name Ictidomys tridecemlineatus (thirteen-lined ground squirrel). RNAcentral describes it as "Spermophilus tridecemlineatus (thirteen-lined ground squirrel) tRNA". It matches the Rfam family "tRNA". Rfam says of the family: Transfer RNA (tRNA) molecules are approximately 80 nucleotides in length. Their secondary structure includes four short double-helical elements and three loops (D, anti-codon, and T loops). The record is from Rfam by way of RNAcentral. Lineage: Eukaryota; Metazoa; Chordata; Mammalia; Rodentia; Sciuridae.